GCGGGCGGCCGCGUACUAGUUUCCUUAGGACUUGUGCGUCCGUAGCAAUACCGUGUGCUGUAAACUUCUGAACGAACUGAGAUACUCAUUCAGUUUUGGUCGCCUCUCCAUUAUCUCGUGGUGACGUAAAGGUGACGGCCCGUGUGUUAGUUUCCCCGGUAAUUGUGCCUCCGUAACAUUACUGUGUGCAGUGGUCGUGAGAACUGCGAGGCGGCGGUGCAGGACUGUGCCGUGGAGAGCCGCGGGGUGUUGGAAUCGCCUGUCAGUCACCUUGAAGGCGUCAUAUUCCCUCCCUGCUCUUCCCCGUGUCUUCCUGUCGAUGUUGACUCAAAACAGACCAGCACCACCACCACCACCACCACCACCACCACUACCUAACGCUGUGUCCAGGCUGGAAUGUGUGACCUCUCUGCCAGGAAUGUCACCGUCCUCUCACACUCUGACACCAAGUACCUCACAACAACACCUGCAAUACUACACCUCUGAGCCCCCCCGGAGCCGUUGGCUGCUCCGCACCCCAGUCAGGGAGGAGCCUCGGCCAGGCUGGCCUAUCACGUGGCGGCGGGCUUCCCUGCUCACGCUGUCAGCCAAUGGAGAAGCGAAGAGAGGCAGCUGGAGGAGGAAGAGGAGGAGGAAUACCUUUCCAGCAUGAUCUGUUUGUAAGUGUGGCUACUGCGAGGCGCUGCUGGCCUUCACACUCCAUCCCCUGCGCCCUCCUGUCAUUACAUCGCCUUUCCAGCGAAGGCAUUACUGCGAUGGUUAUGCGGCUUUUGAGGGGAGUAGCAGCCGCCCAUCGCUGGGAAGGACGCGCCUCACCCUGGCGGCCCUGCUCGGUCCCUUCCACGACUCGCAGCGAGAGAGAGAGGUCGAGGUGCGGUGGUCUCGUGGCGGAAGGCUGAAGGAGGCGGUGAAGGAGUGAAGGUGUGAAGUGUGCAGCUUCCACUUCAUCAUCCCAUGAACAGCCCACAGGAAUCUCUACCAGCACCUGGUUAUUAAACAGUGUUGUCACGCCAGGCCCAAUGUACUCCAUUGCAAUCAGGGAGUCGAGCUUCACCAGGAAAAGAGGCAGAGCGUCACCACCUUCAAGCCCCACAAGAGGUAUUAAGUAUCGUUGGGACAAAGCAAUCAGGGAAGAGUCAAGUUGCAGUAAGAAGAAUGUGUCAAGAAUUUCAAGCAGAAAGAACACGUAAAAUUCCCUUCAAGUCAUGGCGGGACCGACAGGCAACCUUCAACACUUGUGGAGGCACGAGAGCUGCAGGCAGUUUCACAAAGAAGAGGUUGCUCCUCACUCAAGUUGACGCAAGGACACAAGAAUUGGCAAGUGUUGUUGCUCCCAGGCCCUGCUGCAAGAGUUCUCCAGUCCACUCCAGUCUGGGAAGGAAGAAUAUAGCAAGUCCUUCUCUUCUGUACUCAACAACCACCACCACCACCUUCAUUCAGGCUUGGGAUAAGUUUUGUACAUUCCAGCACUUCAGUAAUAAGGAAAAAAAGUGCCAUGUUUAUAUUAUUGUUGUGUAUUUAUUCACUUAACAUUCACAUUAAAACAAUAAACAUUCAGUAUACCAUCUUGAACAUAA
This is a long non-coding RNA of Scylla paramamosain (green mud crab), 1577 nucleotides long. RefSeq lists it as uncharacterized. The transcript has 6 exons. The record is from RefSeq and is a predicted model, not a curated record. NCBI's taxonomy places the organism in Eukaryota, Metazoa, Arthropoda, Malacostraca, Decapoda, Portunidae.